Molecule: ribosomal RNA, 305 nt
Filed under: uncultured bacterium
Lineage: Bacteria
Description: bacterial SSU rRNA
Rfam family: Bacterial small subunit ribosomal RNA
Source: RNAcentral
UGAUCCUACGGGGGGCAGCAGUGGGGAAUAUUGGGCAAUGGGCGCAAGCCUGACCCAGCAACGCCGCGUGAAGGAAGAAGGCUUUCGGGUUGUAAACUUCUUUUGACAGGGAAGAGCAGAAGACGGUACCUGUCGAAUAAGCCACGGCUAACUACGUGCCAGCAGCCGCGGUAAUACGUAGGUGGCGAGCGUUAUCCGGAAUGAUUGGGCGUAAAGGGUGCGUAGGCGGCCUGCUAAGUCUGGAGUGAAAGGUACCGGCUCAACCGGUACAGGCUCUGGAAACUGGCGGGCUAGAGAGCAGGAGG